RNAcentral lists this ribosomal RNA (406 nucleotides) under uncultured bacterium. Its description in RNAcentral is "partial 16S ribosomal RNA". It matches the Rfam family "Bacterial small subunit ribosomal RNA", at positions 30 to 526 of the family's 1533-position model. The record is from RNAcentral.
AUUGAACGCUGGCGGCAGGCCUAACACAUGCAAGUCGAGCGAGCGGCGGGCGGGUGAGUAAUGUAUCGGGGAAUGCCCGUUAGAGAGGGAGAACAACUCGAAACGGUAGAUCAUACCGCAUACUCUAGGAGGUACCCCUAUGGGAGUAGCUAGUAGGUGGGGUAAAGGCUCACCUAGGCGACGAUCCCUAGCUGGUAUGAGAGGAGGAUCAGCCACACUGGAACUGAGACACGGCCCAGACUCCUACGGGAGGCAGCAGUGGGGAAUAUUGCACAAUGGGCGCAAGCCUGAUGCAGCCAUGCCGCGUGUAUGAAGAAGGCCCUAGGGUUGUAAAGUACUUUCAGUGGGGAGGCGUUACCGGCAGAAGAAGCACCGGCUAACUCCGUGCCAGCAGCCGCGGUAAUUC